RNAcentral lists this ribosomal RNA (301 nucleotides) under uncultured bacterium. RNAcentral's name for it is "partial 16S ribosomal RNA". It matches the Rfam family "Bacterial small subunit ribosomal RNA", at positions 509 to 807 of the family's 1533-position model. The record is from RNAcentral.
CAGUCGCCACGGGAAUACGAAGGGGGCUAGCGUUGCUCGGAAUUACUGGGCGUAAAGGGAGCGUAGGCGGAUCGUUUAGUCAGGGGUGAAAUCCCGGGACUCAACCUCGGAACUGCCUUUGAUACUGGCGAUCUUGAGUAUGGGAGAGGUGUGUGGAACUCCGAGUGUAGAGGUGAAAUUCGUAGAUAUUCGGAAGAACACCAGUGGCGAAGGCGACACACUGGCCCAUUACUGACGCUGAGGCUCGAAAGCGUGGGGAGCAAACAGGAUUAGAUACCCCUGUAGUCCCUGUCUCUUAUAC